UGGGGAAUUUUGGACAAUGGGCGCAAGCCUGAUCCAGCAAUGCCGCGUGCAGGAUGAAGGCCUUCGGGUUGUAAACUGCUUUUGUACGGAGCGAAAAGGUCUGCCCUAAUACGGUGGGCUCAUGACGGUACCGUAAGAAUAAGCACCGGCUAACUACGUGCCAGCAGCCGCGGUAAUACGAAGGGGGCUAGCGUUGCUCGGAAUUACUGGGCGUAAAGGGAGCGUAGGCGGACAUUUAAGCCAGGGGUGAAAUCCCCGGGCUCAACCUGGGACCUGCAUUUGUGACUGUAUAGCUAGAGUACGGUAGGGGGGAUGGAAUUCCGCGUGUAGCAGUGAAAUGCGUAGAUAUGCGGAGGAACACCGAUGGCGAAGGCAAUCCCCUGGACCUGUACUGACGCUCAUGCACGAAAGCGUGGGGAGCAAACA
This 426-nucleotide ribosomal RNA is filed under the name uncultured bacterium. Its description in RNAcentral is "bacterial SSU rRNA". It matches the Rfam family "Bacterial small subunit ribosomal RNA", at positions 355 to 774 of the family's 1533-position model. The record is from RNAcentral.